Molecule: long non-coding RNA, 563 nt
Filed under: Erythranthe guttata (spotted monkey flower)
Lineage: Eukaryota; Viridiplantae; Streptophyta; Magnoliopsida; Lamiales; Phrymaceae
Description: long non-coding RNA (EGUT_LNC000428)
Source: RNAcentral
CACCCAACAAACUUCCCCUAUUUAUUAUUUGCAAACAAUUAAUUAAAUCCAAAAUUCAGUACAAUCAGCUCAUCGGAAACUGCUCCUGAGUGGAAUUUUUUUUUUUUGUAAUUUAAAAAAAUCAGAGGCGAAUUUCAACAACUCACAGAAGAAGCUACACUAUAAUAGUAUAAUGUAUGUAUAUAUAUACCUUGGAAGAGAAGGUUUUAGUCGGGGCUGAGCGAACAUCGGAUUGCUCGUCAUCGAAAUCGUAGAGCUGCUCGCCCUCGCCAUCGGAAAAGUCUGAAUCCUCCUCUUCCUCGCUGUGGCCGCUGCUAUAGUAAUCGUCCUCCAUAAAUACUGUACUUAUUGCCUAGUUUCAUAAAAUCUGUAUAUACAUGUAAAAUCGGUGGAGAUAAUCGCCUUCGAAUUGGUCACCGUGAUCGGCUUCGGCGAUCGACGGCGGGUAAUUUCCGGGGAAAUUUUCGCCGGCAAUUGUACAGAUAGGAAGAGUUGUAGAGAGAGAGAGAAACUUAGAGAGAGAAGCUGAUAGAAAGAGGGGUCUUUUAUUGUGUGGAGUGGGG